UGGUGGAGUGAUUUGUCUGCUUAAUUGCGAUAACGAACGAGACCUUAACCUGCUAAAUAGCCCGGUUCACGUUCGUGGGCCGCUGGCUUCUUAGAGGGACUAUCGGCUCAAGCCGAUGGAAGUUUGAGGCAAUAACA
This 137-nucleotide ribosomal RNA is filed under the name uncultured eukaryote. Its description in RNAcentral is "partial 18S ribosomal RNA". It matches the Rfam family "Eukaryotic small subunit ribosomal RNA", at positions 1299 to 1458 of the family's 1831-position model. The record is from RNAcentral.